This 229-nucleotide long non-coding RNA is filed under the name Lathyrus oleraceus (garden pea). RNAcentral describes it as "Pisum sativum (pea) long non-coding RNA (PSAT_LNC006387)". The record is from RNAcentral. Lineage: Eukaryota; Viridiplantae; Streptophyta; Magnoliopsida; Fabales; Fabaceae.
AAGACUCUGCUGAGGGAGAAGAACAAUGAGCUCCUGUGUGCCCGUACAACCAAUGGUUACAUCACAAAUCAACUCGACAAGGCUCAAGAACAGAUUGAAGAACUCAAAGUGCUGGCGGGUUUGAAGAAAUCUAGACUUGAAAACAAUGAGCUCCUGUGUGCCCGUACAACCAAUGGUUACAUCACAAAUCAACUCGACAAGGCUCAAGAACAGAUUGAAGAACUCAAAG